Molecule: transfer RNA, 74 nt
Filed under: Candidatus Liptonbacteria bacterium
Lineage: Bacteria; Candidatus Liptoniibacteriota
Description: tRNA-Ala
Rfam family: tRNA
About the family: Transfer RNA (tRNA) molecules are approximately 80 nucleotides in length. Their secondary structure includes four short double-helical elements and three loops (D, anti-codon, and T loops).
Source: RNAcentral
GGGCCCAUAGCAUAGUGGCAGUGCAUCCGGUUUGCAUCCGGAGGGCGGGAGUUCAAUUCUCCCUGGGUCCACCA